RNAcentral lists this ribosomal RNA (254 nucleotides) under uncultured bacterium. RNAcentral describes it as "partial 16S ribosomal RNA". It matches the Rfam family "Bacterial small subunit ribosomal RNA", at positions 524 to 776 of the family's 1533-position model. The record is from RNAcentral.
UACAUGUGGGGCAAGCGUUGUUCGGAAUCACUGGGCAUAAAGGGUGCGUAGGCGGCGCGACACGUUUUGGGUGAAACCCUGCGGCCCAACCGCAGGACUGCCUGGAAUACGGUCGUGCUUGAGUGCGUGAGGGGCGACUGGAACGCGUGGUGUAGCGGUGAAAUGCGUAGAUAUCACGCGGAAGGCCAACGGCGAAGGCAGGUCACUGGUACGCAACUGACGCUGAGUGCACGAAAGCGUGGGGAGCAAACAGG